UUAAUAUUCCCUCCGUCCGGAAAUACUUGUCAUAGGAAUGGAUGUAUCUAGACGUAUUUUAGUUCUAGAUACAUUUACUUUUAUCCAUUUUUGCGACAAAUAAUCCCGGACGGAGGGAAUAUUAA
Molecule: non-coding RNA, 125 nt
Organism: Hordeum vulgare subsp. vulgare (domesticated barley)
Lineage: Eukaryota; Viridiplantae; Streptophyta; Magnoliopsida; Poales; Poaceae
Source: Rfam